This 228-nucleotide ribosomal RNA is filed under the name Staphylococcus aureus. RNAcentral's name for it is "partial 23S ribosomal RNA". It matches the Rfam family "Bacterial large subunit ribosomal RNA", at positions 2171 to 2398 of the family's 2925-position model. The record is from RNAcentral. Lineage: Bacteria; Bacillati; Bacillota; Bacilli; Caryophanales; Staphylococcaceae.
CUAGCUUACGUGGAGGCGCUGGUGGGAUACUACCCUAGCUGUGUUGGCUUUCUAACCCGCACCACUUAUCGUGGUGGGAGACAGUGUCAGGCGGGCAGUUUGACUGGGGCGGUCGCCUCCUAAAAGGGAACGGAGGCGCUCAAAGGUUCCCUCAGAAUGGUUGGAAAUCAUUCAUAGAGUGUAAAGGCAUAAGGGAGCUUGACUGCGAGACCUACAAGUCGAGCAGGG